RNAcentral lists this non-coding RNA (148 nucleotides) under Pan troglodytes (chimpanzee). Lineage: Eukaryota; Metazoa; Chordata; Mammalia; Primates; Hominidae. The record is from Rfam by way of RNAcentral.
GCCAGGUGUGGUGGCGGGCGCCUGUAGUCCCAGCUACUUGGGAGGCUGAGGCAGAAGAAUCGUUUGAACCCGGGAGGCAGAGGUUGCAGUGAGCCAAGAUUGUGCCACUGCACUCCCACCUGGGUGACAGAGCGAGACUCCGCCUCAG